UCUAUGCUUUCCUAAAAAAUAAUUGACGUUUUAAUACUGGUGUCAAUUUUAUAUAUUUUUGUUCAUCCAAAAAUUUCAAAAUAUUGUAUAGUUGUAGAUCUCAAAAAAAUACCCCUUAAGUAUUUUAUAUAUAAAUAUUGUUCAAUGUUAUAUGCUCUCCUCUUCAAUAAUUAUUGAAGUUUUAAUAUAGGUAUUGUGUAUAUAAAUCUUUAUAUAUUCCAUCCGUCAAUUCCCUAAUUUCACAUAGAUAUAUAUACAUAUAUAUAUAUAUAUAUAUAUAUAUAUAUAUAUAUAUAUAUAUAUAUAUAUAUAUAUAUAUAUCAAUAUUGCCUUAAGUAUAUUGUGUAUAUAAAUAUUGUUGUAUGUUAUACGCUCUCCUCAAUAAUAAUUGAAGACUUAAUUAAGCUAUGCGUAUAUAUAUAUAUAUAUAUAUAUAUAAAUAUAUACCUCAAAAUUUUUACGACUGAAAUGUCUACAUUGGGGACUUUUCAAACAACACAAUUCUUAGAGUAAACCUUAGGAUUAAUAAAAAAACGGUACAUUUGCUUAACAUUAUCCAACCAACACUUUGCCUGUACGUGAAAUAAUAAAAUUUUUAUAUUAUCUUAAAGUUGGUCUACUUUAUGCUGAGAGGAUUUUUCGGUAACAUAGAUUUUAAAUGCAUUUUCUGACAUCUGCUUAACUACGAUGCAAUUCGAUUAGAGUUAUUUGGAAUAUAUUUGAUUAUUUAAAAAGAAUAAAACACAUUUCGAACUCUAGUAUUCCCAAAAUAUAUGUUUUUUACUUAAAUGUUUAUAUCCUCAUUUGGUCGAUGUGGCAUCUCCACGAAGUGAAACACCACAACUUAGGGUGCCAAACAUCUAACGUACUUUAUGAGGACUCGGUUCUCGAAAAUCUCUUAGUAUAUAACAUACAAAUUUUUCGAGUAAUGUACGCGGGGUUGCCAGAUGCAGAUAUUUUUGGAUAAGCAACGUGUAUUAUAAGGACACAGGAACGAUGAGAUUUGGUCCAGUUCACACCUUAAUUUAGUAAAUAACAAUCAAAUGGCUGUCCCCAAAUAACAUACUGAGGAAGAUGCAAAUAUUUUAUAUAUAUAGCGAUUAUAUAGAGGGUAUGAGGACACAGGAACGGUGAAAUACAACAAAACUCGAAUGUAAGUAUAACGCCUAUAAAACUAAGCAAUAUUUUAUUAAAUCUAUUUGGGGUAAGUCGAACAUUGGAUGACCCAUUCCGUGUUUGUCGUCAACAAAACUGGGAAGUGGCAAUUGCUACGAACUGCCGACCAAAGCUGUAAUUUGGUACCACGGGUAACCAGGAGCCCACGGAACUCGUUCCGUCCUGGUUAAUUGUUGUGGCCCUUCGGGGAGUAAUGUGGUGGCUGUGGUUCGAUACCCAAUUGUGGGGAGAGUUUUCACUCGGAGUGGAGUUGCGUGUCAACCGGGUGCUGUACCCAUAGACCAGCGGAGGUAUAGAUAGAUCUCACCUCCCACCAAGGGGGAAUGUCAUGUUCGACAAGCAUGCAUUCAAUUUGGUAACGAAGGGGCACUGCACAUGCAGUGUCUUGGAGGGGCGCUAUUCCGACGCUUUGUUUCGGCUCGCUGUAUUUCGAAUACCGUGGUAGUAAAUCCCUACGGGGUACACGCCACGUUAAACAAAUAUGUUUUGUUUAGUCCCUAUCUACGAUCUAGCGAAACCACAGCCCAGGGAACGGGCUUGGAAUAAUUAGCGGGGAAAGAAGACCCUUUUGAGCUUGACUCUAAUCUGGCAGUGUAAGGAGACAUAAGAGGUGUAGAAUAAGUGGGAGAUAUUCGACUUCGGUUUGGUAUCGACAAUGAAAUACCACUACUCUUAUUGUUUCCUUACUUACUUGAUUAAAUGGAACGUGUAUCAUUUCCUAGCCAUUAUACGGAUAUAAUUAUUAUGUCUUAUGGUAUUGGGUUUUGAUGCAAGCUUCUUGAUCAAAGUAUCACGAGUUUGUUAUAUAAUCGCAAACAAAUUCUUUAAUGAGAGAAUGCAUUUAUGUAUUAUUGAUUUAAAAAUUUGGUAUAACUUCAAUUACUCAGGUAUGAUCCAAUUCAAGGACAUUGCCAGGUAGGGAGUUUGACUGGGGCGGUACAUCUCUCAAAUAAUAACGGAGGUGUCCCAAGGCCAGCUCAGUGCGGACAGAAACCACAUAUAGGUUCGGUUUGGUAUCGACAAUGAAAUACCACUACUCUUAUUGUUUCCUUACUUACUUGAUUAAAUGGAACGUGUAUCAUUUCCUAGCCAUUAUACGGAUAUAAUUAUUAUGUCUUAUGGUAUUGAGUUUCGAUGCAAGCUUCUUGAUCAAAGUAUCACGAGUUUGUUAUAUAAUCGCAAACAAAUUCUUUAAUGAGAGAAUGCAUUUAUGUAUUAUUGAUUUAAAAAUUUGGUAUAACUCCAAUUACUCAGGUAUGAUCCAAUUCAAGGACAUUGCCAGGUAGGGAGUUUGACUGGGGCGGUACAUCUCUCAAAUAAUAACGGAGGUGUCCCAAGGCCAGCUCAGUGCGGACAGAAACCACACAUAGAGCAAAAAGGCAAAUGCUGACUUGAUCUCGGUGUUCAGUACACACAGGGACAGCAAAAGCUCGGCCUAUCUAUCCUUUUGGUUUAAAGAGUUUUUAACAAGAGGUGUCAGAAAAGUUACCAUAGGGAUAACUGGCUUGUGGCGGCCAAGCGUUCAUAGCGACGUCGCUUUUUGAUCCUUCGAUGUCGGCUCUUCCCAUAAUUGUGAGGCAAACUUCACCAAGCGUUGGAUUGUUCACCCAUGCAAGGGAACGUGAGCUGGGUUUAGACCGUCGUGAGACAGGUUAGUUUUACCCUACUAAUGACAAAACGUUGUUGCGACAGCAUUCCUUCCAAUGGCACAAUACUUGUUCGAGCGAACAGUGGUAUGACGCUACGUCCGUUGGAUUAUGCCUGAACGCCUCUAAGGUCGUAUCCGUGCUGGACUGCAAUGAUAAAUAAGGGGCAAUUUGCAUUGUAUGGCUUCUAAACCAUUAAAAGUUUUUAAUUUGUUUUAUUAACGACAAUGGAUGUGAUGCCAAUGUUAUUUAUAACAUAGUAAAUUGGGAGGAUCUUCGAUCACCUGAUGCCGCGCUAGUUAUAUUUUAAAACAUUAUUU
Molecule: ribosomal RNA, 3142 nt
Filed under: Drosophila virilis
Lineage: Eukaryota; Metazoa; Arthropoda; Insecta; Diptera; Drosophilidae
Description: eukaryotic LSU rRNA
Rfam family: Eukaryotic large subunit ribosomal RNA (bases 1453-3142)
Source: RNAcentral